CCUACGGGUGGCAGCAGUGAGGAAUAUUGGUCAAUGGGCGAACGCCUGAACCAGCCAAGUCGCGUGAGGGAUGACUGCCCUAUGGGUUGUAAACUUCUUUUGUCUGGGAGUAACAUGUUCCACGUGUGGGCUUUUGUAUGUACCAUAAAGAUAAAGCACGGCUAACUCCGUGCCAGCAGCCGCGGUAAUGCGGAGGAUGCGAGCGUUAUCCGGAUUUACUUGGGUUAAAGGGAGCGUAGGUGGGUUGUUAAGUCCGUUGUGAAAGUUUGCGGCUCAAACGUAAAAUUGCAGUUGAAACUGGCAUUCUUGAGUACAGUAGAGGUGGGCGGAAUUCGUGGUGUAGCGGUGAAAUGCAUAGAUAUCACGAAGAACUCCGAUUGCGAAGGCAGCUCACUGGACUCCAACUGACACUGAGGCUCGAAAGUGUGGGUAUCAAACAGGAUUAGAUACCCGGGUAGUC
This 460-nucleotide ribosomal RNA is filed under the name uncultured bacterium. RNAcentral's name for it is "partial 16S ribosomal RNA". It matches the Rfam family "Bacterial small subunit ribosomal RNA", at positions 338 to 795 of the family's 1533-position model. The record is from RNAcentral.